CAAGUUAUCCAGAGCAGGAAGCACAAAAGGGAAUAAUGGGUAAUAAUAUUAUUAUCAAGCCCAUGUGAAAAGAGAACAUUGUGGAUACACACCCAUGUGAAAGUUGGCUUUAUGGGACUCCUUUACAGUGCAGCACAAGAUAGAGACACACACAGCCCUUUUGGACAGCCAACCCUUGCCCUCCAACAGAUUUCCCCUCCCUCAGACACCAUGAUCAGCAUGCUGGGCCUCUAAAAAGGUACCCUCCCCAUUCAGAAAUACAUUAGUUAAUGGGAAAUGAAUGCUCUCUCCUUUCACAAAGUCUUCAUGAACUGUUUCAUGGUUGGGACUUAAUUUUGUUGGAAACAAUGGGGCAACACUUGUGGGUUUCCGAACAGUAAACAGGUAUAAGAUAAUGAUAAUACAUGGAAUGGAAUGGGAUAAACAAAUUUAUAAUCUGGUGCAUGCAUACUUCUUUUAAUAAUGCCCAUAAUUUUGAACCAGCAAAAGGGCCUUUGACAUUUACAGGCCAAUUGGGUGUCUGUUCAUAUGGGUCAAAAAGUUAGACCCAGGGAACAUAAGAAGAGGUGGCAUGGUGGUGGCCUUUGUGGGGGAGCCUUCAUGCUGCUCUGCUCAUAGAUCUCUUGAACCUGGUGCUGGAGUUUCAUAAGAUUCCUCGCGUAUCAUUGAUAAAAGGAUGGUUGCAAGCUCCGAGAAUGCAAAGAAGUCAUGUAAUCAACAAGUUAUACCAGUUGGGGAACUGUCACCAGACCUCAGAAUGAAUACACCACAGGGUCCAAAUGACUUGCCACCAGGUCCCCAAGCAUCACUAGAGUACAAUCGAGGUUCCUGUGUAGAGGUCUGGAGCCAAGUCCUACCCCAUCUCGAGUAAAUUCAACGAUUGCAUAAAAGUGUGGUGGAGCAACUCCUCUGGAGCAAUGGAACUAAAGUGAUGGCCACAGAUAAUCAUGUGG
Molecule: long non-coding RNA, 953 nt
Filed under: Physcomitrium patens
Lineage: Eukaryota; Viridiplantae; Streptophyta; Bryopsida; Funariales; Funariaceae
Description: long non-coding RNA (PPAT_LNC010178)
Source: RNAcentral